Long non-coding RNA from Raphanus sativus (radish), 759 nucleotides. RefSeq lists it as uncharacterized. Lineage: Eukaryota; Viridiplantae; Streptophyta; Magnoliopsida; Brassicales; Brassicaceae. The record is from RefSeq and is a predicted model, not a curated record. The transcript has 3 exons.
UCAGCUUGGGAGGGUAUGUUUUUUUUUUCCAUUUUCUUUUCUUUUGUUUUGUCUUCUCGUCUUCUCCGUCGAAGUCAGAGACGAAGAUCGAAACCGACGAAACCCACCGAUCAUUUGUCUUCUCUGGUUUGCGAUCCUCCGUCUCUUCUUGUUUCGGAUCCUCCGUCUCCGUGAGAAGAAGAAUCGAAACCCACCAAGGACGACGACUCGCGCUCUUGCUCCUCUGAUUGCAGUUGUUCCCAAUAGCCUGCGCACACACACACACACACACACUAAUCAGCCACUCAAUGACAAAAUGAGCAAUAACCAGGUUGAGAGAGAGGACCUGGUCAGAUACGCAAUAGCUUUGUCGCUGAACGAAGUACAACCGCCAAGGUUGAGUUUAGUGAGGUUAGGGCAACCAUGAGCAAGUGCAUAGAGGGAACGAUCAGUUAGUCUCAAGCUUUUGCUGAGAUCAAUCUCUUGUAGCUCAUGGCAGUGAUUUGCUAUGGCUUCCACUGCAUUGUCCUCUAGUUGUGGGUUUUGGGCGAUGCAAACAGGCUUACAAAUCCAUUUCUUCGACAAGCAAACACAAGAUGAGAGUGUCGUUUGAAGUAAUUGUACGAAACUUGAAAUCAUUUUUGUCAUUGAAUGCUUGUGAUCAAUGCUGUUAUGAAUGCUUGUUAGAGUUAGUAUAUGGUUAGUGAAUGCUUGUUGUGAUGAAUGGUUCUUAAAAGAAAAAAAAUUAAGAAACCCUAUUUAAGAAACUACCAAUGGAGC